RNAcentral lists this unclassified non-coding RNA (279 nucleotides) under plant metagenome. RNAcentral describes it as "partial contains small subunit ribosomal RNA, internal transcribed spacer 1, and 5.8S ribosomal RNA". The record is from RNAcentral.
UCUCCGUUGGUGAACCAGCGGAGGGAUCAUUACCGAGUUUACAACCCCCAAACCCCAUGUUAACCUUACCAAACGUUACUUCGGCAGGGUGCCCUGGGCGCGGGCCGCAAGGCCGCCGGCCCGGAACCCGCCGCCCGCCGGUGGGGCCAACCAAACUCUUGGUUUUGUAUAAUCUUCUGCUUGACCUAUUCGGCCAACAAUGAAACAAAAAUUUCAACAACGGAACCAUUGGUUUCGGCAACGAUGAAGAACGCAGCAGAAUCGAAGAGGAAAGGUUCG